GCUCCCGUCGUCUAGCCAGGUCAAGGAUAGAGCCCUCUCGAGGCUCAGACGCGGGUUCAAAUCCCGCCGGGAGCA
This 75-nucleotide transfer RNA is filed under the name Candidatus Aenigmatarchaeota archaeon. RNAcentral describes it as "tRNA-Glu". It matches the Rfam family "tRNA". From Rfam's summary of the family: Transfer RNA (tRNA) molecules are approximately 80 nucleotides in length. Their secondary structure includes four short double-helical elements and three loops (D, anti-codon, and T loops). Lineage: Archaea; Nanobdellati; Candidatus Aenigmatarchaeota. The record is from RNAcentral.